GCAUCCGUAGCUUAACCGGUAAAAUGCUGCAGCGGAACGCCUGGAAGGCCUGGCGACUGGGGAAUGAUUUCACCAGGGCAUCGUCAUUCCACCCGACCCGGAUCCCGGAACGGCGGACUUAACGUGGCUUAAGAGCACCAGCUUUGGGAGUUGGUAGGUGCGGGUUCGAGUCCCGUCGGAUGCGCCA
This 187-nucleotide transfer RNA is filed under the name Alphaproteobacteria bacterium. RNAcentral describes it as "tRNA-Pro". The stretch from base 123 to 178 matches the Rfam family "tRNA", at positions 6 to 65 of the family's 71-position model. The record is from RNAcentral. Lineage: Bacteria; Pseudomonadati; Pseudomonadota; Alphaproteobacteria.